RNAcentral lists this transfer RNA (73 nucleotides) under Camelus bactrianus (Bactrian camel). It matches the Rfam family "tRNA". Rfam says of the family: Transfer RNA (tRNA) molecules are approximately 80 nucleotides in length. Their secondary structure includes four short double-helical elements and three loops (D, anti-codon, and T loops). Further hydrogen bonds mediate the characteristic L-shaped molecular structure. tRNAs have two regions of fundamental functional importance: the anti-codon, which is responsible for specific mRNA codon recognition, and the 3' end, to which the tRNAs corresponding amino acid is attached (by aminoacyl-tRNA synthetases). tRNAs cope with the degeneracy of the genetic code in two manners: having more than one tRNA (with a specific anti-codon) for a particular amino acid; and 'wobble' base-pairing, i.e. permitting non-standard base-pairing at the 3rd anti-codon position. The record is from Rfam by way of RNAcentral. RNAcentral also lists the same sequence under 2 other names. Lineage: Eukaryota; Metazoa; Chordata; Mammalia; Artiodactyla; Camelidae.
GAAGGUAUAGCUCAAAUGGUAGAGCACAUGCUUAGCAUGCAUGAGGUCCUGGAUUCAAUCCCCAGUACCUCCU